Molecule: ribosomal RNA, 469 nt
Filed under: uncultured bacterium
Lineage: Bacteria
Description: partial 16S ribosomal RNA
Rfam family: Bacterial small subunit ribosomal RNA
Source: RNAcentral
GGACGAACGCUGGCGGCGUGCUUAACACAUGCAAGUCGAACGGAAAGGCCCUGCUUUUGUGGGGUGCUCGAGUGGCGAACGGGUGAGUAACACGUGAGUAACCUGCCCUUGACUUUGGGGUAACUUCAGGAAACUGGGGCUAAUACCGGAUAGGAGCUCCUGCUGCAUGGUGGGGGUUGGAAAGUUUCGGCGGUUGGGGAUGGACUCGCGGCUUAUCAGCUUGUUGGUGGGGUAGUGGCUUACCAAGGCUUUGACGGGUAGCCGGCCUGAGAGGGUGACCGGCCACAUGGGGACUGAGAUACGGCCCAGACUCCUACGGGAGGCAGCAGUGGGGAAUAUUGCACAAUGGGCGGAAGCCUGAUGCAGCAACGCCGCGUGCGGGAUGACGGCCUUCGGGUUGUAAACCGCUUUCGCCUGUGACGAAGCGUGAGUGACGGUAAUGGGUAAAGAAGCACCGGCUAACUACGUG